GCCGCGCGCUGCUGGCAGGGGGCGGCGGGUCCGGCGGCGAGGGGCGCGGGGCGCGGCUGCCGGGGGCGGCCGGGGGGCUCCGUUAUUUCCUUUCCUCAGCUGUCCACGCUCGCCCCUCGUCGCUUGCCCGGGCAGAGGGGACGGGAGGCAGGUGGUUUCGGAGCUGGCCGAGGCCCCGGGGGCGGCCGGUGGGGCCCUCGCCUCGGGGUGCCCGGCGGCGAACGGUCCCGGCCCUUUGGUGCUACCAAAAAAAGAUGCUCUCUAUGAAUAGAGAGAGUCCUAUUUACUCUGAAAUAUUUGGCACAGCGGAUGGAGUCAGAAGCAUGGAAGAAGUGGCUAUUAUUUUCCCACUGCCUGUGUGCAGCUGUUAUUUCUGAGCAACACGUUCCUUGCACAUCUCUGCUUCCCAACCUUGCUGAUGGUCUACCCCAGGAUUACAACAAGAGACUGGCAUGCCACCACACUCGGCCAAAACCUGAAUGUUGUGGUUUGUAUUUGACCAAACCCAAGACCUAAGCAUUGUGGCUUGUGUUAAAUCAUUGCAGAUAACUGUUAUGGUUUUCUCUCUCUUUUUAAUUAUUUUCUUUUUUCUUUUUUCUUUUUUUUUUUUUUUUUAAACCAGGAGGAUGGUUCUUCCCUGACCUCCCCAUGUAUAAUCACUUGAAUAUUCAGUGAUGUCAUGUUGUUUGACCUCCACUUUAAUGCAAGGAAUGCCAGCAUUUUGGCUUUUGACCUAUAGAAGUAUGUUGGUGUUUAGUGAGGAAGACCGGCUUAACGCAUCUUAUUAGGCAAACUGAAAUCUGAUGGUUAUCUUAAAAGAUACGGUCUUUUGCAUGUAGGCUUUCUCCCGCUGCCAUACCCCUCCUUCUUUCUGUCCCUCCAUAUGCAGGCGUUCUUCCGCGCUGUGAUGCAGCAAUAUGUAUGCACAGGACUCUUGAGGGGAAAAAGAAACGUUUUCAUGUAAAGCGCUAAUAGGAUAUAUUGUACUGUAAAACUGUUAUUUAUAUUCUGCCAGCACUCUACUUCAACUGGUAAAGUCGUUUGGAUGUCAUUUCUUCUACUUGAAAUUCUCUAUUAAAAGAAAUGAGAUUGGCUCUGAAAGAUAAAGAAAAAAAAUAUCAGGGGAACAGUUAACAUUAAAUAUUAUAUGGUAAAUAAUAUAUGUUCCCAGACCUAAGAGGCUUCCUGAAAUCUGUAUUUACUUGAAGGACUCGAAUGGCCUCAGAACUGGGUAAAUAAUGUGUUCCAAACUAUGUAUGACAUGCAUACCAAAAUGCAAAUGUAACCAGGUAAACAGAAUGCCUUUUUAAAAUGCCUAAAUAUGGUAGGAGAACAUCAGAGAGAGAGAGAGAGAGAGAGAGAGAGAGAGAGAGAGAGAAAGAGGCUCUUGACAUGUUUUAUAACUUUCCAUGUAAGAGUUUUUUUCAAAGAAACAAUUUUAUUAAACAAAACCUAAGAAUUUCACUGACAGAAAAAGUAUGUUUAAAAGUAACAAACCAUCAGAAAGCCCGGAAAUCCAAAAUUAAAGGAUAAAUCUGUCCUAAGUCCUCACACUGCGGGCCAAGUACAUCAAGCUGCAUCCAUUUGCUGCCCUGAGAAAAAAACAAAAAAGGUCUUAAAUAGGCAUUUGGUCUAGAGAACUAAUUCUGGUCUUGUACCAUUGUGAAUCGGGCAUUAGCCCACUGAAUUAAAAGUUGUACCAGCCCAUGAAGGUGGGUAAGAAUCAAGGUCCAUCAGGUUUGCUUUUGUGUCACUUCGGUUUCUGUGCUGUUAGAUGUGACUCAUGGGGUACCUUGUUUGUGCAUGUGUAUGUAUGCACAGGGGCAGAGGGAACCUGGAAACAAAGGUAGAGUGCAAUCAGUCUUCAGCUUAUGCUUUCUGAUGACAGGGUGUCAUGGGUUGGAGAAAAACAUCUUGGCAUUGAUGCAUAAAAUGGUUAAAAUGCACUAAUUUUGACUUCCAUGCACGUGUUUAUACAGCACAUGCUUUUAAGAUAGUGUAUUUUUUCUGCUGAAACUAAGAAUUCGCUACACCAGCCUUGCAGACUUGUUUACACAGCUAUAUACGGUAUGUGUGUGUCUACAUCAGUUUCAGUUGGUAUAGUUCCUUUGGUGAAGUCUUGUAAAAUGUACAGGUGUGGAUAUGCUGCAUUCCUGUCUUGUGUUUUUCCUUCUUUUUUUUCCUCCUUCCCCCCAAAAAGUCACUUGAUCAGGUAUCAGACACACUGAAAACCUGGCAAGACUACAGGAAAGUGGCUAGACUUGGAGUGUUUGUGUACUUAAAGAAAGAAUCUUGCACAUUUUCAACUUUCAGUCACAGAUAUUUUUUUGUAAGAGCAACUGGAGGUCUGAGCCAGCCCUCAAAGCGGAAAUCAAAAGCUCCCAGAGAAACAUACCCGAGGAAUGUGGAUCUGAUCCAACAACCAUACGCAAUGCACAUAGAGUACUGUCAGUCUUAUAGGAAGUCUUGCCAUAUAUGGACAUCUGGACCCUGAGCUGUUUAUCAUCAUGAUAGGCUUGUAGCUGGCUUCAGACAUUUCUGGCUUGCCUCAGGUUUAGUAUGCCAGUUAGUUCCUUUCCUAAAAUGUUCACCGGAAUAUUUCUUAAAAAUUGUAAUAAAUAUAUCUCAAAGUCCUGAGAGGUUUAGUUGAAGUUAUGUUACCAGGCUUUUGCUUAAAAUGCAGAUUCCAAGCAAGACUUACGCUGCUAGCUCAGAAAUAGACACAGAAUAAAAAUAAAGAUUUAUUCCAUU
Falco peregrinus (peregrine falcon) is the source of this 2751-nucleotide long non-coding RNA. RefSeq lists it as uncharacterized. The transcript is spliced from 2 exons. The record is from RefSeq and is a predicted model, not a curated record. Lineage: Eukaryota; Metazoa; Chordata; Aves; Falconiformes; Falconidae.